CUGCGGCAGCUUACACAUGCAGUCGAGCGCACUCUUCGGAGUGAGCGGCGGACGGGUUAGUAACGCGUGGGAACGUGCCCUUCUCUAAGGAAUAGCCACUGGAAACGGUGAGUAAUACCUUAUACGCCCUUCGGGGGAAAGAUUUAUCGGAGAAGGAUCGGCCCGCGUUAGAUUAGAUAGUUGGUGGGGUAAUGGCCUACCAAGUCUACGAUCUAUAGCUGGUUUUAGAGGAUGAUCAGCAACACUGGGACUGAGACACGGCCCAGACUCCUACGGGAGGCAGCAGUGGGGAAUCUUGGACAAUGGGCGCAAGCCUGAUCCAGCCAUGCCGCGUGAGUGAUGAAGGCCUUAGGGUCGUAAAGCUCUUUCGCCAGAGAUGAUAAUGACAGUAUCUGGUAAAGAAACCCCGGCUAACUCCGUGCCAGCAGCCGCGGUAAUACGGAGGGGGUUAGCGUUGUUCGGAAUUACUGGGCGUAAAGCGCACGUAGGCGGAUCAGAAAGUAUAGGGUGAAAUCCCAGGGCUCAACCCUGGAACUGCCUUGUAAACUCCUGGUCUUGAGUUCGAGAGAGGUGAGUGGAAUUCCGAGUGUAGAGGUGAAAUUCGUAGAUAUUCGGAGGAACACCAGUGGCGAAGGCGGCUCACUGGCUCGAUACUGACGCUGAGGUGCGAAAGUGUGGGGAGCAAACAGGAUUAGAUACCCUGGUAGUCC
This 710-nucleotide ribosomal RNA is filed under the name Phaeobacter sp. RNAcentral's name for it is "bacterial SSU rRNA". It matches the Rfam family "Bacterial small subunit ribosomal RNA", at positions 36 to 796 of the family's 1533-position model. Lineage: Bacteria; Pseudomonadati; Pseudomonadota; Alphaproteobacteria; Rhodobacterales; Roseobacteraceae. The record is from RNAcentral.